This 356-nucleotide non-coding RNA is filed under the name Volvox carteri f. nagariensis. RNAcentral's name for it is "Eukaryotic large subunit ribosomal RNA". It matches the Rfam family "Eukaryotic large subunit ribosomal RNA", at positions 1504 to 1888 of the family's 3401-position model. The record is from Rfam by way of RNAcentral. Lineage: Eukaryota; Viridiplantae; Chlorophyta; Chlorophyceae; Chlamydomonadales; Volvocaceae.
GACUUCCGUGCACUAAUCCCUGGCCUUAAUCCGCACUGGAAAUACACCCUAAGAGAUGGGGCAAUCCUGUGUGAAGAGCGCGAUUUGCGCUUCCCAUCGAAAGGGAAAAGGGUUAGGAUUCCCUUACUUGGACAAGGCGGCUGGCAGACUCGGCCCUGGGAAGAGUUCUCUUUUCAGUCUAACAAUCCGAAGGCCCUGGAAUCGAAUCAUAAGAAGAUAGGGCUCAGAGGUUGGUAAAGCACCGCACUUCUCGCGGUGUCCGGCGCGCCGUUGACGGUCCUUGAAAAUCCGGGGGAGCAUUUCCGAUCUUGCCAAGUCGUACCGCAUCAGGUUUCCAAAAUGAACAGCCUCUAGUC